This 312-nucleotide ribosomal RNA is filed under the name Escherichia coli. Its description in RNAcentral is "bacterial SSU rRNA". It matches the Rfam family "Bacterial small subunit ribosomal RNA", at positions 1 to 309 of the family's 1533-position model. The record is from RNAcentral. Lineage: Bacteria; Pseudomonadati; Pseudomonadota; Gammaproteobacteria; Enterobacterales; Enterobacteriaceae.
AAAUUGAAGAGUUUGAUCAUGGCUCAGAUUGAACGCUGGCGGCAGGCCUAACACAUGCAAGUCGAACGGUAACAGGAAGCAGCUUGCUGCUUUGCUGACGAGUGGCGGACGGGUGAGUAAUGUCUGGGAAACUGCCUGAUGGAGGGGGAUAACUACUGGAAACGGUAGCUAAUACCGCAUAACGUCGCAAGACCAAAGAGGGGGACCUUCGGGCCUCUUGCCAUCGGAUGUGCCCAGAUGGGAUUAGCUAGUAGGUGGGGUAACGGCUCACCUAGGCGACGAUCCCUAGCUGGUCUGAGAGGAUGACCAGCC